UUCACCCCCACUCCUGAAUUUUCUUAAACGUGUGACCAGGCGGCCGAAAGUGUGGAACUGCUUUGAAGGAGGUGGGGUGCGACCGGGCGCUGCCGGCGGACCGGAAGUCGAGUGGGGGGAGGCUCGGAAGACGGCGGGAGGGGAUUGGCUGAGCGACUCCCGCAGUCUGGGGAGAGCGGCUGCGGAGACCAGGGGCAGAGGCCUACACUGCGGGGCCGGCGAGGGGGACAGGCCCGGGGAGGUUGGCAGGCGUGGAGUGUAGCGGGUGGCGUAGGGCAGGGGCGCCCCCGGGUCCACGAUGCAGCUCCGUAUGAAGCCGCAGUAUUUUCCUUAUAUGAUCGGGCCCCAUGGCUGGCGGCGGCGCUGGCGGAGCCUGAGAGGAUUAUGAAAACUUGUCAGGCGAAAUGGGGCCAGGGAACCGGGGGCUGGGAGAUUAGGGUGAGCCGGUUAGGCUACGGAUGAGGGAGGUUAGGGAUGCCUCUGCCGCUGUAACUGUGAGCCCUGGUCGAUGAUGACGUGACCACUGCGCAAUCUGAGUUCUGGGAACCAGGUGAUAGAGUGUGUGCUGAGAACGGACUGAGACCGGGCGAGCAGGAGGCGAGCCGGGCAGAGAAGGGGCAGAUCCCCAGCGCCAGGGCUCGGAGGCUGGCCAGGCUGCUUCGGGCUUGAUUCGCGUGGUCGGUGUGGUGUGCUCCAAGGACAAAGAACAAGAUAAACUAAAAGGGCCAACAUCGCCGGAACAGAGAGUUACCAGACCCUUAUCACUCUGUCAUGCAGCAACCAUUGCAACAUCUCUGAGCUUUCCCAAGCAGCAUGCCUUGCUCUUUCUCCAUACCAUAUAUAGAAAGUUGAUUGCAUCCAUGGACACAGAACCCAGGGAUACAGAGGGCCUUGGCUUUGAAUAAAUGAGGCAGGUCUCUCUAUUCCCUGAGACACAACAGUAUUGAAAUUAGGCCAACUCGUAACCCUGAAGUGGCCUCUUAAGUGCUCAAGUGAAAGGAAGAGUCACACAUCUCUCACAUUAUAUCAAAAGCUAGAAAUGAUAAAACUUAGUGAGGAAAGCAUGUGGAAAGCCAAGAUAGGCUGAAAGCUAGGCCUUUUGCAAACAUUUAGCCAAGUUGUGAAUGAAAAGGAAAAGUUCUUGAAGGAAAUUGAAAGUGGUACUCCAGUGAACACACAAUGAUAAGAAAGCAAAACAGCCUAUCGCUGAUACAGAAGUUUUCAUGGUCUGGAUAGAAGAUCAAGCCCGUCACAACAUUCCCUUAAGCUAAUACCUGGUCCAGAGCAAGGCCCUAACUCUCUUCAGUUCUGUGAAGGCUGAGAGAGGUGAGGAAGCAGCAGAAGAAAAGUUUGAAGCUAGCAGAGGUUGGUCCAUGAGGUUUAAGGAAAGCAGCUGUCUCUAUAACAUCAAAGUGCAAGGUGAAGCAGCAAGUGCUAAUGUAGUAGCUGCAGCAAGUUAUCCAGAAUCUAGCUAAGAUAAUUAAUGAGGGUGGUUAGACUAAACAACAAAUUUUCAAUGCAGACAAAACAGCUGUCUAUUGGAAGAGGAUGCCAUCUAGGACUUUCACAGCCAGAGAGGAGAAGUCAAUGCCUGACUUCGAAGCUUCGAAGGACAGGCUGACUCUCUUGUUAGGGACUAAUGGAGCCGGUGACUUGAAGUUGAAGCCAGUCCUCACUUAUCUUUCUGAAAAUCUUAGGAUCCUUAAGAAUUAUGCUAAAUCUACUUUGCCUGUGCUCUAUAGAUGGAACAACAAGCCUGGAUUACAGCACAUCUGUUCCACAUGGUUUUCUGAAUAUUUUAAGCCCAUUGCUGAGAUCUCCUGCUCAGAAGAAAAGAUCGCUUUCAAAAUAUGACUGCUCAUUGACAAAGCAUCUGGUCACCCAAGAGCUCUGAUGGAGAGGUACAAUGAGAUUUAUGUUGUUUUCAUGCCUGCUAACACAACAUCCAUUGUGCAGCCCAUGGAUCAAGGAGUCAGUUUGACUUUCAAGUCUUAUUGUUUAAGAUAUACAUUUUGUAAGGCUAUAGCUGCCAUAAUAGUGAUUUGAGAAGAUUAACUCUAAUUUUGAAAGAUGUUCUACUGUGGGUAAAAUGGUAUCAAACAUCAUUGCACGCUACGAGAAAUCGUUCGUGAAAGGAAGAGUCAAUAGAUGUGGCAACUUCAUUGUUGUCUUUUUUUUUCUUUAAUUUUAUUUCUUUAUUUAUUUUUAUACAGCACGUUCUUAUUAGUUCUCUAUUUUAAACAUAUUAGUGUAUAGAUGUCAACCAGAAUUGCUGCAGCCACCCAACCUUCAGCAACUACCAUGCUGAUCAGUCAGUAGCCAUCAACAUUGAGCCAAGACCCUCUACCAGCAAAAAGAUUAAGACUCGCUGAAGGUUCAGAUGAUGGUUAGCAUUUUUAAGCAAUAAAGUAUUUUUAGAUUAAGAUAUGUACAUUGUUUUAUAGACAUAAGGCUAUUGCACACUUCAGUAUUGUGGAAACAUAACUUUUAUAUGCACUGGGAAACCAACAAAUUCAUGUUACUCACUUUAUUGUGACAUUCCCUUUAUUGCAGUGGUCUGCAACCAAACUGGCAGUAUCUCCAAGGUACCUGCCAUAACCUGUGUAACCUGAGGUGUAACCAUGCAGGUCCCUAUUGGUCCUUCCCUGGACAGACCCCCACCCCCACCCCCACGUCCUCCACCUGCCUCUUGUUGGUAGAAAAACUUUAACUGCCUAGGCCUUCCCUGAGUUCCAAAGAGCAAACUUAAUCAGAGAAUGAGAAAAUGCAGAAACAAAGGAAAACAGUCAAGACAAACAUAAUAACAGUUUAACCAUUAAACAAAGUCAAGGACCUUUAGUUCCUCCUCAAGGGCUAUAGAUAAUGUUCUGAGCCAAGUCCUUUGAUCUGUUUUGCAGAUACAGAAACCGCCACCAGGUGGGAGAAGUUAACUGCGUGCUGCCCACAAGCACAUAGACCCCAGACCAGCUGGAACCAGAAGGUUGGUGAUGUUGACUCCUGAUUACCUCACCCCCAACCAGUCAGAACAAUGUCUAGGAGCGGAUCAGAAGGAGAUCACCGGGGCCUAGCUGGGAGCACCAGGCCAGCUUCUGCCACCACCCAGACCUACCUCUGAGUGUCAGACCAGGACCCAGAUGUCGGCUGCUUUGUUCUUUCUCAGCUGUUACUAGAUAAGUGUAUGUUGUCUGAAAUUUGGCUCCUGGCACACAGUUUUCCUGUUGAGGUCCUGAAGAUAGGCCCUAAUCUCGCUGGGAAUGAGGUGGAGGCUUUCCUGAAGAGAGGUUAUUCUUCCACCAGCCACCCAGAAAAGAAGUUUGUCCAUCCUUAAUUGGAAGUUGGGUUCCAGAGGUGCUGGGCAGAGAGAAGGUGCAUGAUUUAAUUUGGAAAAUCUGAUCUCCUCAUGCUGGUCUCAUUUUGCACUACCACCUUGGGGCUGGCCCAUUUCUAAAUAGGCACAUUCGUGAUGGAGGGCUAGGCCACCUGUGUGUGGACCAGAGUGAUCUUUUUACAGACUGGUAAUAUCUCUGCAACCGAGUCCUAGUACAAAUACAAUUUUGAGGGGAAAAGGAAAGGAACAUUUAAAUGCCUCUAGGUUCUCACUGACUUUAUUUAAAAUAAUGUAAAUGGAUGCUAAGUGAAAACAGGACCAUAAUGGAAACAUAGCUGUAAAGAAAACAAUUAAAUGCCAAAUGCCGGAUGCUGCCGCUUUCUGAAAGAAAUUUAAGUUUCUAGGUGAGAGACAUUCCAGAAUUCAUUGUUAAGCAUUUAAAAAAGUGUGUGCCUAAGCUUGACGUUUUGCGAGUUGACUACCUUAUCUUUCUACGUAAGCAAGAGACACCAGAGAGUUACUGGGAAACCGUGGCAUCUUGUUUCACAGAGCGAAGUAGCCUUUGGUUCAUCCAGGAACAUCCCAUCCUCUGGACCUUCAGGACUGUAUCAUUGGGAGCAGAAAGGGCCAGGAGUGCCACACUAA
Molecule: non-coding RNA, 3973 nt
Organism: Kogia breviceps (pygmy sperm whale)
Lineage: Eukaryota; Metazoa; Chordata; Mammalia; Artiodactyla; Physeteridae
Source: RefSeq, a predicted model, not a curated record